AUGAACAACCUGCUCUCUGUGUCCACAGUGCCUGCACCCCAGCAGGCAUCCAGGAGCCACCACUGUCCUUCCAGCUGCACCGCGUUCCACAUGUGGCUGCUCUUCUGCUGCUGGCACCUCCGGCCUCCAUGGGCACAUGGGCCUCGGCUGAACCCUGGGACCUGCACACUGCUCAGACCUGCCUCCCUGCCACGGAGAGACAGGAGGGGAGGUAACUGCACACCAAACACUGCUUGGUGCUUGCUUUUUGGAAACCAACCCAACUUCCAUGGACAUGAAGAGCCGAAAUCCAGGAGGUUGCAUCCAAGGAAAGGGCUCUCAGCUCCACCACAUGACUGCAAAACAGUGGGACCAGACUUACCGAUGUUAUGGCAAAGCCAGAACCAUAUGGCCCGCACCAUCUCCAGUUUGCUCUGGGAUUUGGCUGUGAUCAGGGGAACAAUGGCCUGGACGGACAUCCUAGUGUGGCCUGAUUUCAGCUGCAAUGGAGAGGACAGGUGAGUUAAAGGCACUCUUGGUGUCAUAAUCUCAUGGGUAGGUGGCUGCUGACAUGAUGGGCUUGCUAGAAACAAAAGGUACAUCACAAAAACCCCAAAGCUUCAUUUAUCCCCCUCUGGAAAUGGGAAUCCAAAAAUAUGGUUUAUGGUAGAACAUUUCUCCAUUUUCCUAUGCUUGAUCUUAAGGACUGGAGUUGCUACUUAGAGGAAAUGAAGGUGGUAUUUUCCAUUUCUUUGAAGCAGCUGGUGGGGAUGUGCAAUGUCAACACUCCAAUGCCCUCUCUGUCUAGGUCAAGGUGUCCCUUUGCCCAGAGAGUCUUGUUGUAGAGGUCCCUCCAGCGGUGCAAAACUGCAACAUGUAACUGGGGAAAGUGGGUUUCCAGCCGCACACCAAAUAAUGUCUCAGUAUAUUGUCCCUGGAGAUGUUUAAGAACCAUAGAGAUGUAGCACUGAGAGACAUGGUCAGUGGGCAUGGUGGGGGUGGGCUGGGGUUGGGCUUGGUGAUCUUAGAGGUCUUUUCCAACCUGUAUGAUUCUAUGAGUCUGUUUAUGCAGAAAGAGAAGCCUCCUUGUGGCUCAGAUCCUCUUCUUGACCCUGUCAAAGCAGUCAAACCCACACCCCAAAAUGGGUGGAAGGAAUUGCCCCUACCACUAAAAUUUCACCUAUUUCUUAAUCCCAAGAAAGCCUUUCUGCCCCUUUCCUCCCAUUCACUCAUUC
RNAcentral lists this long non-coding RNA (1214 nucleotides) under Numida meleagris (helmeted guineafowl). RNAcentral's name for it is "lncRNA (ENSNMEG00000005193.1)". Lineage: Eukaryota; Metazoa; Chordata; Aves; Galliformes; Numididae. The record is from RNAcentral.